This 488-nucleotide ribosomal RNA is filed under the name uncultured bacterium. Its description in RNAcentral is "bacterial SSU rRNA". It matches the Rfam family "Bacterial small subunit ribosomal RNA", at positions 30 to 507 of the family's 1533-position model. The record is from RNAcentral.
AUUGAACGCUGGCGGCAUGCCUAACACAUGCAAGUCGAACGGUAACGCGGAGAGCUUGCUCUCUGGCGACGAGUGGCGGACGGGUGAGUAAUACUUGGGAAUCUGCCCAGUAGUGGGGGACAACAUUCGGAAACGGAUGCUAAUACCGCAUACGCACUACGGUGGAAAGUGGGGGAUCUUCGGACCUCACGCUAUUGGAUGAGCCCAAGUCGGAUUAGCUUGUUGGUGAGGUAAAAGCUCACCAAGGCGACGAUCCGUAGCUGGUCUGAGAGGACGAUCAGCCACACUGGGACUGAGACACGGCCCAGACUCCUACGGGAGGCAGCAGUGGGGAAUAUUGGACAAUGGGCGCAAGCCUGAUCCAGCAAUGCCGCGUGUGUGAAGAAGGCCUGCGGGUUGUAAAGCACUUUCAGUAGAGAAGAAAAGCCUAGGGUUAAUACCCCUGAGUCUUGACGUAACCUACAGAAGAAGCACCGGCUAACUCCGUG